AACGAACGCUGGCGGCAGGCUUAACACAUGCAAGUCGAACGCCCCGCAAGGGGAGUGGCAGACGGGUGAGUAACACAUGGGAACAUGCCCAAAGGUACGGAAUAUUCUCGGGAAACUGGGAGCAAUACCGUAUGUGCCCGAAAGGGGAAAGAUUUAUCGCCUUUGGAUUGGCCCGCGUUGGAUUAGCUAGUUGGUGGGGUAAAAGCCUACCAAGGCGACGAUCCAUAGCUGGUCUGAGAGGACGACCAGCCACACUGGGACUGAGACACGGCCCAGACUCCUACGGGAGGCAGCAGUGGGGAAUCUUGGACAAUGGGCGCAAGCCUGUUCCAGCCAUGCCGCGUGAGUGAUGAAGGCCCUAGGGUUGUAAAGCCCUGUCGGGAGGAACGAAUCAAUGACGGUACCUCCCAAGAAAGCACCGGCUAACUCCGUG
RNAcentral lists this ribosomal RNA (433 nucleotides) under uncultured bacterium. Its description in RNAcentral is "bacterial SSU rRNA". It matches the Rfam family "Bacterial small subunit ribosomal RNA", at positions 29 to 507 of the family's 1533-position model. The record is from RNAcentral.